GAGCCCUGUUUGUAACCUGUUAAUCUGGCUGGAGUAAACGGGUUCCAUUCCAGUGCUGCAGUGUCUCUAAUGCCCAUGACUGACUGGCUGGUGGCUUUCCAUUUCAGGUCUUGGAGUCAAAG
This 122-nucleotide small nucleolar RNA is filed under the name Tupaia belangeri (northern tree shrew). The record is from RNAcentral. Lineage: Eukaryota; Metazoa; Chordata; Mammalia; Scandentia; Tupaiidae.